This 253-nucleotide ribosomal RNA is filed under the name uncultured bacterium. Its description in RNAcentral is "partial 16S ribosomal RNA". It matches the Rfam family "Bacterial small subunit ribosomal RNA", at positions 524 to 776 of the family's 1533-position model. The record is from RNAcentral.
UACAGAGGUCCCAAGCGUUGUUCGGAUUCACUGGGCGUAAAGGGUGCGUAGGUGGUGAGGUAAGUCGGAUGUGAAAUCUCCGAGCUCAACUCGGAAAUUGCAUUGGAAACUACCUUGCUUGAGGGUUGGAGGGGGGACUGGAAUGCUUGGUGUAGCAGUGAAAUGCGUAGAUAUCAAGCGGAACACCAGUGGCGAAGGCGAGUCCCUGGACAACACCUGACACUGAGGCACGAAAGCUAGGGGAGCAAGCAGG